UACAGAGGUCCCAAGCGUUGUUCGGAUUCACUGGGCGUAAAGGGUGCGUAGGCGGUCGGGUAAGUCUGAUGUGAAAUCUCACAGCUUAACUGUGAAACUGCAUUGGAUACUAUCCGGCUCGAGGAAUGGAGGGGAGACUGGAAUUCCUGGUGUAGCAGUGAAAUGCGUAGAUAUCAGGAGGAAUACCGAUGGCGAAGGCAGGUCUCUGGGCUGACACUGACGCUCAUGCACGAAAGCGUGGGGAGCAAACAGG
This 253-nucleotide ribosomal RNA is filed under the name uncultured bacterium. Its description in RNAcentral is "partial 16S ribosomal RNA". It matches the Rfam family "Bacterial small subunit ribosomal RNA", at positions 524 to 776 of the family's 1533-position model. The record is from RNAcentral.